UUUCAUAUAGCAAUGAAACUAUGAUACAUAUAAUUUUAUUAAAAUUAAUUUCUACAUAAUUAUUAUAAAUUUAUGUUGUGGGAUUUUGUUGGUCUGUCUAAAAAAUAGAAGAAAGGAGAAUAAAUACUAGUUAGCAUUUAAUAUGAAUCCAUUUGACGAAAAUCACCAAUCACCGGUACGAGAAAAUGAUAUAACCGUCGUACAAAAUUCGCUUAUAUUUAUAUAGAGGUAAACAAAUAACAUUUACAACAUCAUUUGUGGGAUUCCGCUUACGGCGGUGAUUCACGUAAGUUUGAGUUUUUUUAAUAUCCCAGUCAUCUAUAUGCACUUAGAGUUGAUUAUCAUUUCAACUUCUGCACAUGUAAUAAAAAAAAAUAUGUAGGUAGGUAUAUAUCUAUGAAAACAUAUUAUAAUAUAUAUAUAUGUAUAACUAAUCAUGGACUCAGAUAGAUCACAUAAUAAUAUACAUUAUACAUACCUAUACGAUUUACCAACAUCUACCUACAUAUUAUUAUACCUAUAAGCAAAUACGUCAUAUAAUAUUAUGUUUUAAUAGAAUUAUAUUAUAUUAUUAUGUACGGGGAUGUUUGCUCUCGUCCGAUCUGAUAAUGUGUACACUAUGGUUGGUGGCACGCUGAAGAAAAAAACUGUUAGCACGAAGAAUGCCGAUUAAUAAAAAAGAAAAAUAAUGAUAAUAUAAUAAUGCAUCGAACGAGAAGCAGCUGAUUCAUCAGAAACCAACAAUGUGCCAGUGAUUGCAUCGUUUAAAUAAACAUGUGGUUGUGCAGCAUUGGGGCUUCGGAUGCAGUGUGUCUCCGUCCUCCGUCAUGUGAGGUGAAAGUCUCAACUGGAUAUGUAAAUCCCAAUCAUGCCCUUUUUAAAUAUGCAUUUUCCGUGGCUAUACAAUUUUUUGAAGAACCGCUUUCGUUUUAAAAAUAUGAAAAUCACGAUGACCAGAUGAAAUCAAUCGAAUUUAUAAUGCGUCUCUUUUAAAGUGUAAUCGUUUG
Long non-coding RNA from Metopolophium dirhodum (rose-grain aphid), 1007 nucleotides. RefSeq lists it as uncharacterized. The transcript has 3 exons. The record is from RefSeq and is a predicted model, not a curated record. Lineage: Eukaryota; Metazoa; Arthropoda; Insecta; Hemiptera; Aphididae.